This 485-nucleotide ribosomal RNA is filed under the name Praomys rostratus (West African Praomys). RNAcentral describes it as "partial 16S ribosomal RNA". Lineage: Eukaryota; Metazoa; Chordata; Mammalia; Rodentia; Muridae. The record is from RNAcentral.
UAGUUAAACGGCCGCGGUAUCCUGACCGUGCAAAGGUAGCAUAAUCACUUGUUCCUUAAUUAGGGACUUGUAUGAACGGCUAAACGAGGGUCCAACUGUCUCUUAUUUUCGAUCAGUGAAAUUGACCUUCCAGUCAAGAGGCUGGAADCCNNNNAUAAGACGAGAAGACCCUAUGGAGCUUAAAUUAAUAWMCUUAUAUGAAUAUCUUCCAUAAACCUAGUGGAAUAAAAACAGAAAUAAUUAAGCUUAAAAUUUUGGUUGGGGUGACCUCGGAGAACAGAAAAUCCUCCGAACGAUUAUAACAUAGACCAACMAGUCAAAGUAAACCAAUUUUCCAAUUGACCCAAAAAUUUGAUCAACGGACCAAGUUACCCUAGGGAUAACAGCGCAAUCCUAUUUAAGAGUCCAUAUCGACAAUAGGGUUUACGACCUCGAUGUUGGAUCAGGACAUCCCAAUGGUGCAGAAGCUAUUAAUGGUUCGUUUG